RNAcentral lists this ribosomal RNA (460 nucleotides) under uncultured bacterium. RNAcentral describes it as "partial 16S ribosomal RNA". It matches the Rfam family "Bacterial small subunit ribosomal RNA", at positions 338 to 795 of the family's 1533-position model. The record is from RNAcentral.
CCUACGGGGUGCAGCAGUGAGGAAUAUUGGUCAAUGGACGAGAGACUGAACCAGCCAAGUAGCGUGAAGGAUGACUGCCCUAUGGGUUGUAAACUUCUUUUAUAUGGGAAUAAAACAGGGUAUGCAUACCCUCUUGAAUGUACCAUAUGAAUAAGCAUCGGCUAACUCCGUGCCAGCAGCCGCGGUAAUACGGAGGAACCGAGCGUUAUACGGAUUUAUUGGGUUGAAAGGGAGCGGAGGUGGAUUGUUAAGGCAGUUGUGAAAGUUUGGGGCUCAACCGUAAAAUUGCAGUUGAAACUGGCAGUCUUGAGUACAGUAGAGGUGGGCGGAAUUCGCGGUGUAGCGGUGAAAUGCUUAGAUAUCUCGAAGAACUCCGAUUGCGAAGGCAGCUCACUGGACUGCAACUGACACUGAUGCUCGAAAGUGUGGGUAUCAAACAGGAUUAGAUACCCUUGUAGUC